UACCAGCACCCCGAGUGGUCGGGACGUUUAUUGGGCCUAAAGCAUCCGUAGCCGGUUCUACAAGUCUUCCGUUAAAUCCACCUGCUUAACAGAUGGGCUGCGGAAGAUACUAUGGAGCUAGGAGGCGGGAGAGGCAAGCGGUACUCGAUGGGUAGGGGUAAAAUCCGUUGAUCCAUUGAAGACCACCAGUGGCGAAGGCGGCUUGCCAGAACGCGCUCGACGGUGAGGGAUGAAAGCUGGGGGG
This 244-nucleotide ribosomal RNA is filed under the name uncultured bacterium. RNAcentral describes it as "partial 16S ribosomal RNA". It matches the Rfam family "Archaeal small subunit ribosomal RNA", at positions 474 to 718 of the family's 1478-position model. The record is from RNAcentral.